Molecule: ribosomal RNA, 506 nt
Filed under: Plateumaris pusilla
Lineage: Eukaryota; Metazoa; Arthropoda; Insecta; Coleoptera; Chrysomelidae
Also listed under: 1 other name
Description: partial 16S ribosomal RNA
Rfam family: Bacterial large subunit ribosomal RNA (bases 380-506)
Source: RNAcentral
GGCUUAUUGAUUGAAGAUUUUAAGUCUAGCCUGCCCCCUGAUGAAUUUUAAUGGCCGCAGUAUUUUGACUGUGCUAAGGUAGCAUAAUAAUUAGUUUUUUAAUUGAAAGCUAGAAUGAAUGGUAUUAUGAAAAAAUUACUGUCUCUUUUAAAAAAUUAAAAUUUUAUUUUUAAGUUAAAAAGCUUAAAUAUAAUUAAAAGACGAGAAGACCCUAUAGAAUUUUAUUUAAAUUAAUUUUUAGUAAAUUAGUAUAUAAAAUUUAAGAAUAAGUUUAUAUUUAGUUGGGGUGAUUAGAAAAAUUAAGUAUCUUUUUUUUAUAAUAACAUUAAUUUAUGGUUAUAUGAUUCAUGUUAAUGAUUUAAGAAUAAAUUACCUUAGGGAUAACAGCGUAAUUUUUUUUUAGAGUUCUAAUCAAAAAGAAAGAUUGCGACCUCGAUGUUGGAUUAAAAUUUAUUUUUGGUGUAGUAGCUAAAAUAUUAAGUCUGUUCGACUUUGAAAAUUUUACA